This 269-nucleotide long non-coding RNA is filed under the name Callithrix jacchus (white-tufted-ear marmoset). RNAcentral's name for it is "lncRNA (ENSCJAG00000070148.1)". The record is from RNAcentral. Lineage: Eukaryota; Metazoa; Chordata; Mammalia; Primates; Cebidae.
CAGAGUUCAAACCCCUGCUCAGCCAUUCUCUCACUUCCUGCUGGUGGGGACAGGAGAGGCCAGGAAGGCUCUGCGCCAUACAAGAAUCAGAAGCCAUGGCUGAAUCAGCAGAGCCAAAUAAGUGGCUCAGAGGGGUUGUGACGAAACCCAUCUUUCUAUGUGCUGGAGAGAGCCCUUGCUCUCCCUGAGAUAUUAGAAAUCUGCAGAAAGCACUGGGAAUCAUCAUAGAAAGGAUUCAGCCACUGAAAUCAGACCUGAGUUCAAAUCCC